This 301-nucleotide ribosomal RNA is filed under the name uncultured bacterium. RNAcentral describes it as "partial 16S ribosomal RNA". It matches the Rfam family "Bacterial small subunit ribosomal RNA", at positions 509 to 807 of the family's 1533-position model. The record is from RNAcentral.
CAGCCGCCGCGGUAAGACGGAGGGUGCUAGCGUUGUUCGGAAUCACUGGGCGUAAAGGGCGCGUAGGCGGCCUGUUAAGUCGGAUGUGAAAGCCCGGGGCUCAACCCCGGAACUGCAUCCGAGACUGGCAGGCUUGAGACCGGGAGAGGAGGGUGGAAUAUCCAGUGUAGAGGUGAAAUUCGUAGAUAUUGGAUGGAACACCGGUGGCGAAAGCGGCUCUCUGGCCCGGAUCUGACGCUGAGGCGCGAAAGCGUGGGGAGCAAACAGGAUUAGAUACCCGUGUAGUCCCUGUCUCUUAUAC